This 406-nucleotide ribosomal RNA is filed under the name uncultured bacterium. Its description in RNAcentral is "partial 16S ribosomal RNA". It matches the Rfam family "Bacterial small subunit ribosomal RNA", at positions 30 to 526 of the family's 1533-position model. The record is from RNAcentral.
AUUGAACGCUGGCGGCGGGCCUAACACAUGCAAGUCGAACGAGUUGCGGACGGUUGAGUAAUGUCUGGGAAACUGCCUGAUGGAGGGGGAUAACUACUGGAAACGGUAGCUAAUACCGCAUACCAUCGAAUGUGCCCAGAUGGGAUUAGCUAGGGGGUGGGGUAAAGGCGCACCUAGGCGACGAUCCCUAGCUGGUCUGAGAGGAUGACCAGCAAAACUGGAACUGAGACACGGUCCAGAGUCCUACGGGAGGCAGCAGUGGGGAAUAUUGGACAAUGGGCGAAAGCCUGGUCCAGCAAUGCAGCGUGUGGGAAGAAGGUCUGCGGAGUGUAAAGCACUUUUAGUUGGGAGGCGUUAGCAACAGAAUAAGCACCGGAUAACUUCGUGCCAGCAGCCGCGGUAAUAC